Plasmodium falciparum 3D7 is the source of this 916-nucleotide non-coding RNA. NCBI's taxonomy places the organism in Eukaryota, Apicomplexa, Aconoidasida, Haemosporida, Plasmodiidae. The record is from RefSeq and is a predicted model, not a curated record.
UAUAUAUAUAUAUAUAUACAUAUACUUUUGUUUUAUUUAUGAUUCUUAUUAUUUAUAAUUGAAUUUUUUUCUUAGUAUAAUUUUUUUUUUCCUUCACAUUAUUUAUAUAUAUACAUAUAUAUAAUUUUUAUAUUUAUAAGAUUAAACAAAAUAAUCAUAUAUGCUAUAUUAUAAAAAAAAUAAAAAAAGAUAUAUAUAUUUUUAUACUUUUAAGGUUUAAUUUUUUGCUAUCCGCCAUUUUCUUAUUAUAUAAAAGAAAAAUGUAUAACCCAAAUUUUCUUUCUUUUUGAAUAUAAUUAUAUUUUUAUGUAUAGAUAUAUAUUUAUAUUUAUUUAUUUUAUAAUUUAUAUUAUAUUAUUGAUUUUUUUUUUUUUUUUUUUUUUUCUCUUCUUUUCUUUCCUCUCUCCUUUUUUUUUUUCUUUUCUUUUUUUCUUCAUAUUUUCAUUUUUUUUUUUUUUUUUUGUUUUUGUACAACCAUAUAAAAUAGUUGUAUAAUUCAACUAGAUUAUAUUUUUUCUGUUAUUUUAUUUUUUUUUUUUUUGUAAAAUGUAUAUAUUAUAAAUAUAUAUUAUUUCUAUGUGUAUAUAAUAUAUUAUAUCUUUUCAUGGUUACUUUAUAUAUGUCACAAUCUACCUUAUUGUAGUAUGUAAAAAAAUAAAUAAAUAAAAAAGAGAAUGAAAGGAGACUAAAUAAAAAUGUAUAAAUAAAUAAAUACAUACAUAUAUAUAUAUAUAUAUAUAUAUAUAUAUAUAUGUAUAUGUAAACAUAAAAUAUAAUGUGUUCUGCUAUGACAUUAAUAGUAUAAUUUUUUUUUUUUUUUUUUCUUUCCUGGUUACAAUUAAAAAAAGAAAAGCAAAUUUAUUAUAUUUUAAGUAUCAAUUUGUAUAUCUCUAUAAAAGGUAGGCCCCCUUCCAAA